CAAAUCCUACGGGGCGCAGCAGUGGGGAAUAUUGCACAAUGGGGGAAACCCUGAUGCAGCGACGCCGCGUGAAGGAAGAAGUAUUUCGGUAUGUAAACUUCUAUCAGCAGGGAAGAAAAUGACGGUACCUGACUAAGAAGCCCCGGCUAACUACGUGCCAGCAGCCGCGGUAAUACGUAGGGGGCAAGCGUUAUCCGGAUUUACUGGGUGUAAAGGGAGCGUAGGCGGUGAUGCAAGUCAGAAGUGAAAGCCCGCAGCUCAACUGCGGGACUGCUUUUGAAACUGU
This 286-nucleotide ribosomal RNA is filed under the name uncultured bacterium. RNAcentral's name for it is "partial 16S ribosomal RNA". It matches the Rfam family "Bacterial small subunit ribosomal RNA", at positions 333 to 636 of the family's 1533-position model. The record is from RNAcentral.